Molecule: transfer RNA, 78 nt
Filed under: Acidobacteriota bacterium
Lineage: Bacteria; Pseudomonadati; Acidobacteriota
Description: tRNA-Leu
Rfam family: tRNA
About the family: Transfer RNA (tRNA) molecules are approximately 80 nucleotides in length. Their secondary structure includes four short double-helical elements and three loops (D, anti-codon, and T loops).
Source: RNAcentral
GCUGUCGUGGCGCAAACAGGCAGACGCUCACGAUUAAGAAUCGUGAUGAUGAGAGUUCAAGUCUCUCCGGCAGCACCA